GACAUGCCAAAAGAUUGUUGGUUGUAGCCAGCAGGCUUCCUCAUCAGAAACUCCACCAGUACAAGAAAGCUUUGUGAACAUAGCCCCUCUAGAACCUGAAGGUUUGAUACGCACUUAUAGAGGAGUUAGCUAAGCAUAUUUAUUUUGUUCUUCAAUGUUAUAAUGUUUUAGCUUAAGUUGAGCCUGCAAUGUGAAGGAUGGCACUGAAAGGCCUUUGUUAUUGUAGGUUAACAGCUACCACUGCAAGAAUUGUAGCAUAGAUGUAAAUUUGUACAAAAGUUUGAAAAGUAACUUAUUUCAAUUUUUU
Molecule: unclassified non-coding RNA, 307 nt
Filed under: Hevea brasiliensis (rubber tree)
Lineage: Eukaryota; Viridiplantae; Streptophyta; Magnoliopsida; Malpighiales; Euphorbiaceae
Source: RNAcentral